AAUGAACGCUGGCGGCAUGCCUAACACAUGCAAGUCGAACGAGACCUUCGGGUCUAGUGGCGCACGGGUGCGUAACGCGUGGGAAUCUACCCUUGGGUUCGGAAUAACUCGCCGAAAGGCGUGCUAAUACCGGAUAAUGACGUAAGUCCAAAGAUUUAUCGCCCAAGGAUGAGCCCGCGUAGGAUUAGCUAGUUGGUGAGGUAAAAGCUCACCAAGGCGACGAUCCUUAGCUGGUCNGAGAGGAUGAUCAGCC
RNAcentral lists this ribosomal RNA (253 nucleotides) under uncultured bacterium. Its description in RNAcentral is "partial 16S ribosomal RNA". It matches the Rfam family "Bacterial small subunit ribosomal RNA", at positions 29 to 309 of the family's 1533-position model. The record is from RNAcentral.